GGGUGCGCAGGGCAUAGGGCGCUGCGUAGGUUUUCGCCAAACGGAUGGUCGGGCCGCCAUCC
This 62-nucleotide non-coding RNA is filed under the name Candidatus Aminicenantota. RNAcentral describes it as "Candidatus Aminicenantes Li+-I sequence". It matches the Rfam family "nhaA-I RNA". Rfam says of the family: Acidobacteria, Alphaproteobacteria, Betaproteobacteria and Gammaproteobacteria, Verrucomicrobia, cand. division NC10. The record is from RNAcentral.